Molecule: ribosomal RNA, 422 nt
Filed under: uncultured prokaryote
Description: bacterial SSU rRNA
Rfam family: Bacterial small subunit ribosomal RNA
Source: RNAcentral
GGAAUCUUGCGCAAUGGGCGAAAGCCUGACGCAGCGACACCGCGUGGAGGAAGAAGGCCUUCGGGUUGUAAACUCCUUUUCUUGGGGAAGAGAAAGGACGGUACCCAAGGAAUAAGGAUCGGCUAACUACGUGCCAGCAGCCGCGGUAAUACGUAGGAUCCGAGCGUUGUCCGGAUUUACUGGGCGUAAAGAGUGCGUAGGCGGUCUGCUAAGUCUCAUGUGAAAUCUCCCGGCUCAACUGGGAGGGGUCAUGGGAAACUGGCAGGCUUGAGGGCUGUAGAGGAGAGCGGAAUUCCUGGAGUAGUGGUGAAAUGCGUAGAUACCAGGAGGAACACCAGUGGCGAAGGCGGCUCUCUAGGCUGUACCUGACGCUGAGGCACGAAAGCGUGGGGAGCAAACCGGAUUAGAUACCCGUGUAGUCC